This 693-nucleotide long non-coding RNA is filed under the name Brachypodium distachyon (stiff brome). RNAcentral describes it as "long non-coding RNA (BDIS_LNC001849)". Lineage: Eukaryota; Viridiplantae; Streptophyta; Magnoliopsida; Poales; Poaceae. The record is from RNAcentral.
GUCUUGGAACCACAAAACAAUACAUCUUCGGGCGCAUGCAGCACCAACAACACCUCCACAUGCAUGCCUCUUGAGGGAAAAAGAAAAGAAACUUCCAUAUGCAUGCUAGGCACGAGCUUUUCCCAUGCAUGGUGCACAGGGUAGCAACCAAACAACCUCAUACUCCAUAAUCGGGUAUUUGAAUAGGCGUUUGAUCUUGCCUUUCUUUUCCUUGUAUACUUGCUUUUUUGCCCCAAUUUUUGUGAAUACUUUUAUUUUUUGUCCCUUCUCACACUUUUUUUUAUUUCUUUCACAUUAUCUAAUGAAUACAGUCUAAAUUUGAAGACCAAACGAUCUACCUUUCAUAACGAAAAAGAACCAUAAUUGAAUUAUGAACUCUAUAGGAACAUGUUGGUGUAUUUGGUUUGGCUAGAGAAGCGCCAAACAAAUGGCCCGUGACUGAAAAUUGUAAAAUGAUAGGCAGGCUUGUACAUAUGGAAGGAAUGCAUCGCAUUGUGGUUCUUCUAUAGGAGGACAACAGUUGGUGCAUGAGUUCAGCAAAAGCAAUGGACUUUGACGUGCGUUUUUUCUCCAAUGUUGAGGUUAUGCUUUACUGAACACAACAUACUGGUGUCGAGUUCUACUGCUAUUUAUUUUUGAACGUUGUAAUGCUGUUUUUUUUGCGAGGAUAUACUGCUGUUUUCAAUUGCUUGU